RNAcentral lists this unclassified non-coding RNA (313 nucleotides) under Bombus terrestris (buff-tailed bumblebee). Its description in RNAcentral is "misc RNA ENSBTSG00005031794.1". Lineage: Eukaryota; Metazoa; Arthropoda; Insecta; Hymenoptera; Apidae. The record is from RNAcentral.
GGUUAUUUAACGUGAACUAAAUGCAGUAAUGUGCUAUAGCUAUGGCAACUAAAUGGAUAAUUCACAACUCAUAACUAGUAGUUUACAACUCAUGACAACUUGGCAACUCAAUUCUCGACUCAUUUCUUGACUCUUCACAACUCGACUCUCAACCCACGACUCCUCACAACUCGACUCCUCAUUGACGACUCCUCGCAACUCGACUCUCAGGUAACGAGUCCUCACAACUCGACUCUCGGAUAACGACUGCCUGUUAAUUUGUCCUUCUCCCUUAAGCAUCCCUUUGUCUUUUCUCAUAGCCCCACCACGUACG